GCAUCAUGAUUUACAUUUGAGUGAGUGGCGAACUGGUGAGUAACACGUGGGAAACCUGCCCAGAAGCGGGGGAUAACACCUGGAAACAGAUGCUAAUACCGCAUAACAACUUGGACCGCAUGGUCCGAGUUUGAAAGAUGGCUUCGGCUAUCACUUUUGGAUGGUCCCGCGGCGUAUUAGCUAGAUGGUGGGGUAACGGCUCACCAUGGCAAUGAUACGUAGCCGACCUGAGAGGGUAAUCGGCCACAUUGGGACUGAGACACGGCCCAAACUCCUACGGGAGGCGCAGUAGG
Molecule: ribosomal RNA, 293 nt
Filed under: Lactiplantibacillus plantarum
Lineage: Bacteria; Bacillati; Bacillota; Bacilli; Lactobacillales; Lactobacillaceae
Description: Lactobacillus plantarum partial 16S ribosomal RNA
Rfam family: Bacterial small subunit ribosomal RNA
Source: RNAcentral